CCAUUUAAAAGAUAAACAUGGGCCACAGGAUCCUGAACAGACCCAGAGUGCAGGCCCUGCGAGUGAGUAAGAUGACCCGGGGCCUGGCGGGAUACUGAAUAGACCAGGAGCGAAGUCCUGGCCAGUGAGUGAGACGA
Long non-coding RNA from Octodon degus (degu), 137 nucleotides. RefSeq lists it as uncharacterized. The transcript is spliced from 4 exons. The record is from RefSeq and is a predicted model, not a curated record. NCBI's taxonomy places the organism in Eukaryota, Metazoa, Chordata, Mammalia, Rodentia, Octodontidae.